Molecule: ribosomal RNA, 622 nt
Filed under: uncultured archaeon
Lineage: Archaea
Description: bacterial SSU rRNA
Rfam family: Archaeal small subunit ribosomal RNA
Source: RNAcentral
UAAUGCUCCAUAGUGGAUAUGUCCUGGAAUGGUAUAUCCUCGAAAGAUCCGUCGCCUUAGGAUGGGACUGCGUCCGAUUAGGUUGUGGCGGGGGUAACGGCCCACCAAGCCAUUGAUCGGUACGGGUUGUGGGAGCAAGAUCCCGGAGAUGGAUUCUGAGACAUGAAUCCAGGCCCUACGGGGCGCAGCAGGCGCGCAAACUUUACAAUGCGAGCAAUCGUGAUAAGGAAACCCUGAGUGCCUGUCGAUGCAGGCUGUUCAUAUAUCUAAAUCAUAUGUGAAGAAAGGGCAGGGCAAGACCGGUGCCAGCCGCCGCGGUAAUACCGGCUGCUCGAGUGAUGGCCACUAUUACUGGGUUUAAAGCGUCCGUAGCUUGACUGUUAGGUCUCUUGGGAAAUCUUCACGCUCAACGUGAAGGCGUCUAAGAGAUACCGGCAGUCUUGGAACUGGGAGAGGUAAACCGUACUUCGGGGGUAGGAGUGAAAUCUUGUAAUCCUCGAGGGACGACCUAUGGCGAAGGCAGUUUACCAGAACAGCUUCGACAGUGAGGGACGAAAGCUGGGGGAGCAAACGGGAUUAGAUACCCCGGUAGUCCCAGCCGUAAACAAUGUGCGUUAGGUGU